UGCCCCAUCUACCCACUCAUUUUCCCGCGAGAUCCAGUCGCGCGCGAAAAAUCGCGCCUCACCGGCCGGUUUGUGAUCACGCGGUUCCAGGGGUUUCGGGAAAUUUGCAAAAGCAUCGCCUUGAAGUUUUGAUCGAUUAGAUAAAAAAAUAUACGAGGAGAAAAAUUAAAUACUUGAAACAAUAGACGUGCGAGGUAAUUUUCUCUUGGGUUAUGAUGCAUUUUUUUUACGAGUUUUCAAAAUUAUAGCAUGAUCAUGUUGAAUGACUCCUGCCCUGAUUAGUUAUGUGUUUUUGCGUCAUAAAAUGAAUAAUGUCGUUUUACCGAGUGAGAUCGAGGUGGUAAGUGUUCGUGUCGGAAUCCAGGGCCGAAUCGAGUUGGUUUAGACAAAAAAAUUGCCCAAAUUUAGUGAAAGGUAUGGGAGGAUGGUACUUAACAGUGGGGGAGAGUGUGGUAUCUCCUCGAAAUGCUGACAAACGGUUCGGCGGACAAUAUCCUCGCGAGAGAGAAAAUGCCAGAUAGAUGAAAGAGAGAUAGGCUUGCAAGCGCCACACUUAGCUACCUUGCUGGUAUGAGCUCGAUGAGCGAAGGGGAGGAUGCUUUACCUCCCGAAGGGUACGUGGCGGCGGCCGUUGUUCUCUUCUUAAUCGGUUUCUUCGGAAUCAGCUCCAACUUAAUCGUCAUCAUCCUCUUUCUUCGUGAAAAAC
Non-coding RNA from Bemisia tabaci, 706 nucleotides. The record is from RefSeq and is a predicted model, not a curated record. NCBI's taxonomy places the organism in Eukaryota, Metazoa, Arthropoda, Insecta, Hemiptera, Aleyrodidae.